RNAcentral lists this ribosomal RNA (427 nucleotides) under uncultured Gammaproteobacteria bacterium. Its description in RNAcentral is "uncultured gamma proteobacterium partial 16S ribosomal RNA". It matches the Rfam family "Bacterial small subunit ribosomal RNA", at positions 355 to 774 of the family's 1533-position model. Lineage: Bacteria; Pseudomonadati; Pseudomonadota; Gammaproteobacteria. The record is from RNAcentral.
UGGGGAAUAUUGGACAAUGGGCGCAAGCCUGAUCCAGCAAUGCCGCGUGUGUGAAGAAGGCCUUCGGGUUGUAAAGCACUUUAGGCUGGGAGGAAGUGUAGUAGUUUAAGAGACAACUGCAUUGACUGUACCGGCAGAAUAAGCACCGGCUAACUCUGUGCCAGCAGCCGCGGUAAUACAGAGGGUGCAAGCGUUAAUCGGAGUUACUGGGCGUAAAGGGCGCGUAGGCGGUUUGUUAAGUGAGAUGUGAAAUCCCUGGGCUUAACCUAGGAACUGCAUCUCAUACUGAUGAGCUAGAGUAUUGUAGAGGGUAGUGGAAUUUCCGGUGUAGCGGUGAAAUGCGUAGAGAUCGGAAGGAACACCAGUGGCGAAGGCGGCUACCUGGACAAAUACUGACGCUGAGGCGCGAGAGCGUGGGGAGCAAACA